RNAcentral lists this ribosomal RNA (119 nucleotides) under Pteropus alecto (black flying fox). Lineage: Eukaryota; Metazoa; Chordata; Mammalia; Chiroptera; Pteropodidae. The record is from RNAcentral.
GUCUAUGUCCAUGCUACCCUGAACAAGCCUGAUCCUGUUUGAUCUCAGAAGCUAAGCAGGGUCAGGCCUGGUUAGUACUUGUAUGGGAGACCACCUAGGAAGACCAGGUGCUGCUGUAG